Molecule: ribosomal RNA, 512 nt
Filed under: uncultured bacterium
Lineage: Bacteria
Description: partial 16S ribosomal RNA
Rfam family: Bacterial small subunit ribosomal RNA
Source: RNAcentral
GACGAACGCUGGCGGCGUGCCUAAUACAUGCAAGUCGAGCGGACAGAAGGGAGCUUGCUCCCAGAUGUUAGCGGCGGACGGGUGAGUAACACGUGGGUAACCUGCCUGUAAGACUGGGAUAACUCCGGGAAACCGGAGCUAAUACCGGAUAGUUCCUUGAACCGCAUGGUUCAAGGAUGAAAGACGGUUUCGGCUGUCACUUACAGAUGGACCCGCGGCGCAUUAGCUAGUUGGUGAGGUAACGGCUCACCAAGGCGACGAUGGGUAGCCGACCUGAGAGGGUGAUCGGCCACACUGGGACUGAGACACGGCCCAGACUCCUACGGGAGGCAGCAGUAGGGAAUCUUCCGCAAUGGACGAAAGUCUGACGGAGCAACGCCGCGUGAGUGAUGAAGGUUUUCGGAUCGUAAAGCUCUGUUGUUAGGGAAGAACAAGUGCAAGAGUAACUGCUUGCACCUUGACGGUACCUAACCAGAAAGCCACGGCUAACUACGUGCCAGCAGCCGCCGUAA